AAUGAAACGGUGACCAGUCCCGGGAAGCCCGCAAGAGACCUCAGCGGUGGCCGUCCGAGCGCCGAGAGGUGAGGGUGUCCCUGGCCUCACCUGCGGAGGGGCCGUUCCGGGCUCGAACCCGGCACCUUCCGGAAAAUGGCGGCUGCCAGGCCCAGCCUGGGUCGAGUCCUCCCAGGAUCCUCUAUCUUGUUCCUGUGUGACAUGCAGGAGAAGUUCCGCCACAACAUCGCCUACUUCCCACAGAUCGUCUCAGUGGCUGCCCGCAUGCUCAGGGUGGCCCGGCUGCUUGAGGUGCCAGUCAUGCUGACGGAGCAGUACCCGCAAGGCCUGGGCCCCACGGUGCCCGAGCUGGGGGCUGAGGGCCUUCGGCCACUGGCCAAGACCUGCUUCAGCAUGGUGCCCGCCCUGCAGCAGGAGCUGGACAGUCGGCCCCAGCUGCGCUCUGUGCUGCUCUGUGGCAUUGAGGCACAGGCCUGCAUCUUGGUGAGAUGCUGACUGACCCCAGGGGUCCCUCGUACUAACCCUGACCAGAAACCUCCAUUCCCUGCAGGACCCCCAUCCUGACCUGGGCCCUCUCUCCUCACCUGUGGGCCCCAUCCUAUCUUGGAUUCCCUCCUGACCUGGGGGCCCCCUGCUCUGAUCCGAGCCUCCCUCCUCCCCAUUCUGGGCCCCUAAUUCUGACUCACCAUCCCCAGUUCCUUACCCGGGACCCCUGUUCUUAUCCGGGGUUGGCCCUGACCUCUCUCUACCCAUA
This 754-nucleotide small RNA is filed under the name Pongo abelii (Sumatran orangutan). RNAcentral's name for it is "retained intron". The record is from RNAcentral. Lineage: Eukaryota; Metazoa; Chordata; Mammalia; Primates; Hominidae.